GAAUGUGCCCAAACUUCAAAUUAAUGAAUCUAGACAAAAGAUGUAUGAACAUGGCCUUUCUUUUUCUGCCAUCUUGGAGUCUAUGGAGGCCUGCUGGGAACAGGACGCCUAUAACGCCAAAUAAUGUCUGGAAGGCUAUGGUCCAAGGCCAUUUUUGCUGGCUAUAAGCGGGGUCUCCGGAACCAGAGAGAGCAUACAGCUCUUCUUAAAAACAAGGGUGUUUAUGCUCGAGAUGAAACGGAAUUCUAUCUAGGCAAGAGAUUGGCUUAUGUGUACAAAGCAAAGAACACAGUGACUCCUGGUGGCAAACCAAACAAAACCAGAGUAAUCUAGGGAAAGGUAACUCGUGCUCAUGGAAGCGGUGGCAUGGUUCGUGCCAAAUUCUGAAGCAACCUUCCUGCUAAAGCUAUUGGCCACAGAAUCCGUGUGAUGCUGUACCCCUCAAGGAUUUAAAUUUAAUGAAAAGUAAAUAAAUAGAUCGGAAGAGGGUC
Molecule: non-coding RNA, 491 nt
Organism: Callorhinus ursinus (northern fur seal)
Lineage: Eukaryota; Metazoa; Chordata; Mammalia; Carnivora; Otariidae
Source: RefSeq, a predicted model, not a curated record